CUUCGGCAAACGAGACGUCGCUAACGCCCGAAGGACCAUUUUUUCGUCAAGAACCUUCCGAAAGUGAACACCCGCUUUAAAAACAGUCCAUCCACGACUAUAAAACACACACUUCCUAACACGAAUCCUUCGCGAAGAAUAUAAAACGGUAAUAUCUACCGAUAAGUUUGUUGCUGAUCACAACAAACUCUCAACGUCCUAAACAGACUAAGCCAUCUCUUAGAGAUAGCUCUCGAACACCCGACACAAGGGUAAUAGUGCUAUAUAAAAAAUCCAAAAUUUUGGUCCGCACUUUUGGGAGACUUAAAAACUGUCCUCGAAGAGAUGUUCGAUUCCUACCAUACAAGUCAUGUCAGCCGAUAACAUAUCGUAGACUUUAAUGUGGGACGGAAUCAGGUCGAAAACAAUGCGGGAAAUGUAAGUCGAAGUAGUCAUCGCACCCCCUAAAGCCGUGAUUAGUCCUUGGUCUUAACCUAAACCCAACACACUAGUCUCUAACAUCUCUAGACAUAGUAUCAAACACCCUGAUACCAGAUCAUAAAAUUUGUCUC
Molecule: long non-coding RNA, 551 nt
Filed under: Brassica napus (rape)
Lineage: Eukaryota; Viridiplantae; Streptophyta; Magnoliopsida; Brassicales; Brassicaceae
Description: long non-coding RNA (BNAP_LNC010696)
Source: RNAcentral